UGAAUGGGAUGAAUCGGCUCGGAUGUAAUCGUCUUCCAGUAGGGAGAAGCGAAAGUGACCGUACUGCAGAAGAAGCGCCGACUAACUACGUGCCAGCAGCCGCGGUAAUACGUAGGGCGCAAGCGUUAUCCGGAAUUAUUGGGCGUAAAGAGCUCGUAGGCGGUUUGUCGCGUCUGCCGUGAAAGUCCGGGGCUCAACUCCGGAUCUGCGGUGGGUACGGGCAGACUAGAGUGAUGUAGGGGAGACUGGAAUUCCUGGUGUAGCGGUGAAAUGCGCAGAUAUCAGGAGGAACACCGAUGGCGAAGGCAGGUCUCUGGGCAUUAACUGACGCUGAGGAGCGAAAGCAUGGGGAGCGAACAGGAUUAGAUACCCUGGUAGUCCAUGCCGUAAACGUUGGGCACUAGGUGUGGGGGACAUUCCACGUUUUCCGCGCCGUAGCUAACGCAUUAAGUGCCCCGCCUGGGGAGUACGGCCGCAAGGCUAAAACUCAAAGGAAUUGACGGGGGCCCGCACAAGCGGCGGAGCAUGCGGAUUAAUUCGAUGCAACGCGAAGAACCUUACCAAGGCUUGACAUGGGCCGGACCGGGCUGGAAACAGUCCUUCCCCUUUGGGGCCGGUUCACAGGUGGUGCAUGGUUGUCGUCAGCUCGUGUCGUGAGAUGUUGGGUUAAGUCCCGCAACGAGCGCAACCCUCGUUCCAUGUUGCCAGCGCGUAAUGGCGGGGACUCAUGGGAGACUGCCGGGGUCAACUCGGAGGAAGGUGGGGACGACGUCAAAUCAUCAUGCCCCUUAUGUCUUGGGCUUCACGCAUGCUACAAUGGCCGGUACAAAGGGUUGCGAUACUGUGAGGUGGAGCUAAUCCCAAAAAGCCGGUCUCAGUUCGGAUUGGGGUCUGCAACUCGACCCCAUGAAGUCGGAGUCGCUAGUAAUCGCAGAUCAGCAACGCUGCGGUGAAUACGUUCCCGGGCCUUGUACACACCGCCCGUCAAGUCACGAAAGUUGGUAACACCCGAAGCCGGUGGCCUAACCCCUUGAKGGUAGG
RNAcentral lists this ribosomal RNA (1041 nucleotides) under Arthrobacter sp. Its description in RNAcentral is "bacterial SSU rRNA". Lineage: Bacteria; Bacillati; Actinomycetota; Actinomycetes; Micrococcales; Micrococcaceae. The record is from RNAcentral.